AAACCAGCCAACCCUGUAUCACAAAAAGGCUGCAACAUAUGAAAGCCAACCAGGCAGAGCCUACAGGCCUUAAUUCUCAAGGAUCCAAGGCAUCAUUCCAGCAGGACCUGUGACAUCCUUGGCAGUGGAUAAUGGAAGCCUGUCCUCACCACCAGUAUCAGGGGAGAAACAGCAUGAACAAUAACAUCUGCACUUCUUGUUUACAAUAAUUGAUGCUUCAAGGACCAACAUAAAGCACUGCAGAGAAUUCUGUCAGAAAAAAAACCCUACAUG
Long non-coding RNA from Colius striatus (speckled mousebird), 273 nucleotides. RefSeq lists it as uncharacterized. The transcript has 3 exons. Lineage: Eukaryota; Metazoa; Chordata; Aves; Coliiformes; Coliidae. The record is from RefSeq and is a predicted model, not a curated record.